AACGAACGCUGGCGGCAUGCCUAACACAUGCAAGUCGAACGAAGCCUUCGGGCUUAGUGGCGCACGGGUGCGUAACGCGUGGGAAUCUGCCCUUUGGUUCGGAAUAACAGUUGGAAACGACUGCUAAUACCGGAUGAUGACGAAAGUCCAAAGAUUUAUCGCCAGAGGAUGAGCCCGCGUAGGAUUAGCUAGUUGGUGUGGUAAAGGCGCACCAAGGCGACGAUCCUUAGCUGGUCCGAGAGGAUGAUCAGCCACACUGGGACUGAGACACGGCCCAGACUCCUACGGGAGGCAGCAGUGGGGAAUAUUGGACAAUGGGCGAAAGCCUGAUCCAGCAAUGCCGCGUGGGUGAUGAAGGCCCUAGGGUUGUAAAGCUCUUUUGCCCGGGAUGAUAAUGACAGUACCGGGAGAAUAAGCCCCGGCUAACUCCGUGCCAGCAGCCGCAGUAA
This 449-nucleotide ribosomal RNA is filed under the name uncultured bacterium. RNAcentral describes it as "partial 16S ribosomal RNA". It matches the Rfam family "Bacterial small subunit ribosomal RNA", at positions 29 to 523 of the family's 1533-position model. The record is from RNAcentral.